Molecule: unclassified non-coding RNA, 178 nt
Filed under: air metagenome
Description: partial contains small subunit ribosomal RNA, internal transcribed spacer 1, and 5.8S ribosomal RNA
Rfam family: Eukaryotic small subunit ribosomal RNA (bases 1-46)
Source: RNAcentral
AAGUCAUAACAAGGUUUCCGUAGGUGAACCUGCGGAAGGAUCAUUAAUAAGGUCUUCAAGUGGACAUCACUUGACCCACACACACCGUGAACCGUGGCUUCGGCCCAAACUUUUACAGUAUUGAAUGUGUAUCAUCGUAACAAAAACACAACUUUCAACAACGGAUCUCUUGGCUCUC